GGCAGCCAUUAGCCAUGCGGUCACCCAGGUGAAUCUGAAACUGGCUCUCUCCUCAUAACCGCAUGCUCAAAGAGUGCCCUGCCUCCAGAGGAGAACUCCAACCACCUCUGGAUGAUGCGGGUCUAAUAAAUCAAACGUGUCCAACCACAAGUCUCAUCAAGACCCUCAUCAAGUCUCAUCAAGACCAGCCACUCACCUGCUGCUUUAGACCCAAGUGACAGUGCUCAGCCAAUCAACUGAGAGAGGGUGAAAGCAGAACUCUGCCCCAUCAGCAACUGCAUGGCCUGGGCAGCACCUCCAUGCUUCUUUUCCAAGGAAGAAAACAGCUUCACUGGAAACAGCUUCACGGCUUCAAACAAACACCCCCAUUCCAAGGGAGGGUUGACUUUUGGAGCAAAGAAGGUGUUGCAAGUGCCCUGUGAUGAACCUCAUGAGGUUGACCAUCCUCCCUCUGAUGUGGUGGGUGAUCCUUUUCUUGGAUGGCUGUUACAUUGGCUACAUGUUCAAGCUGACCAAUGGGAGCUUCUCAGGAGAAGACAUGAAGCAGCAACUGUCUAAUAUCUUUGUGAUAGCCCAGGUGUGUGGCUUAUGCCUCCUUUUAUUCAUCAUCCUGUGCAGCUGCCUAAAAACCCACUUCCCCUGCAACAUCUGUGAGCUCUGCCCAAAUCAAACCAGAACCACAGGGCAAGAAGAGAACAAGGAUACCAGGAGUCCAAGCCAGUGGAGGAUGGACCAGCAUGGCUGGCUAACUCAGGACCAUCCAGCGUGGUUAUAUAUAACCAGAAGUACAGUGAAGAGAGAAAUACAGUGAAGACCACUAUAUGAUUGAGUCACUUAAUGCAUGUACCAAUAAAGCUAUCUGGUAUUGCUUUGA
Alligator mississippiensis (American alligator) is the source of this 874-nucleotide long non-coding RNA. RefSeq lists it as uncharacterized. The record is from RefSeq and is a predicted model, not a curated record. The transcript is spliced from 4 exons. Lineage: Eukaryota; Metazoa; Chordata; Crocodylia; Alligatoridae.